UAUCAUCAUUUCAACUCAUACAUGUAUUAUUUGUGUCUAAUUAUGUACUAUCAUUUUUUUAUAUAUUUAUGGAGGUAUCACGUUUCAUUGAGCUCUCAUGAUAUGACUAAUUCUCAUUCUUCUGUAUCGAGCGGGCCUUGUGGAUUUUAUGUUAUUUUUAUUAUUCUGUUUGAGAUGAGGCUCUGAUUCUGUGUGCAUGAUAUUUUUUUCCUUUCUUUCCUCGCUAUUGAUUUAUAUGCUUCCUUGUGGUCGAUUGAUUACGGAUGGUGUUGUUUAUUCAGUUCAAUUUAAAACAUCAGUAUCUGAAUAAUUUUGACAAUUCCAAUUUUCAGAUGUCCAUAUGACACACUAAUACUUCAGUAGACAUAUAGUUCGGGAUGUUGUAAAUUAAAAUUAUUAUUGCAAUAAGGCCAACGGAACUACUUGUGCCUUUUCACUCUAUCCCACAUCUUACAAUUUAGUUUUCUGCUGUAAAACUAAAUUUAGUUUUCCAGAGUCCCGACUAUUGCAUGCCAAGUAUCAAUGAAUGUGCCAGUUGGUAUUUUUGAAUUCAAAAGUAGACUUGUAUGGCCUCCAUUAGAAUUGGAAAAAAAAAUAAAUUUCCUGAGUCAAACUGUGAGUUCUGGGACGAUUUUUGUAUUUUUUUUUCUUCAUAAAGUAGUUUAAACAUUGCAUAGAACGUAUGUACUUCUGCCUAACUUUGUUUCUCCCGGGCUUCAUCAUCUUGCAUUUGGUUAAUUUUUUUCCAUCUGAAUUAUGUGAAGCAAUGAAUUUUUUGAAUGUUUAUUCUUCAUCCAAUCUGCAGACUAUACACUCCAUCUCAAUAGUUCUAAGUUAGGUGGGCGACUCUUUUUUGUUUUUCAUAAUAUAGGAAAAGUUGAGAGUUGCAGUUCUGGUUUCCAAGGCUGCAAUUCAGUUCAUACAAGGUGAGCUUCUUAGCCAUUUCAGUUAAAUUAUGCAUUAUAAAAAUUCUAAUUAGGUUGAUACUCUUUGUGGAAUGGUUGCAGGCAUGCAACCANNNNNNNNNNNNNNNNNNNNNNNNNNNNNNNN
Molecule: long non-coding RNA, 1050 nt
Filed under: Panax ginseng (ginseng)
Lineage: Eukaryota; Viridiplantae; Streptophyta; Magnoliopsida; Apiales; Araliaceae
Description: long non-coding RNA (PGIN_LNC007768)
Source: RNAcentral